Bubalus bubalis (water buffalo) is the source of this 1014-nucleotide long non-coding RNA. RefSeq lists it as uncharacterized. The transcript has 3 exons. The record is from RefSeq and is a predicted model, not a curated record. Lineage: Eukaryota; Metazoa; Chordata; Mammalia; Artiodactyla; Bovidae.
AUUAUUCCCCGAGGUCUGGGUGGAAGACAACCCCCCCGGGGCUGGUUAAACAUCAAGCCUCAGUGAUAAUAGAACUCAAGCCAGGUGCCAUUCCGAUAAGAAAAUGCCAAUACCUGCUAUUGAUAGAGGCCUGGGUUGGCAUAUUACCCCACAUCAAUAGAUUGAAACAAGCGGGCAUUCUAGUAGAGUGCCAGUCAGCUUGGAAUACGCCCAUCCUGCCAGUCAAAAAGGAAGGAGGACAGGACUAUAGGCCUGUACAGGAUCUCAGGCUAGUCAACCAGGCUACUGUGACUUUACACCCCACUGUUCCAAACCCCUAUACCUUACUUAGUCUCCUCCCACAGAGAACUAAAGUUUAUACUUGCCUGGAUCUCAAGGACGCCUUCUUCUGUAUACGCCUCGCCCCAGCGUCACAACCCAUCUUUGCCUUUGAACGGGAAGGUCCAGUCGGGGGCACCAAGCAACAGCUCACCUGGACUUGUCUCCCACAAGGGUUUAAGAACUCCCCAACCAUUUUGGAGGAAGCCUUGGCUUCUGACCUGGACUCAUUCCAUUCAGAAGAGUAUGGAUGUUGGCUCCUACAAUACAUGGAUGACCUGCUAUUGGCUGCCGAGACCAAGGAAAAAUGCUGGGAAGGGAUGAAAGCACUGCUCCAACUGCUGAUGGAAGCAGGUUACUGGGUGUCAAAGAAGAAGGCACAGAUCUGCAAGGAGGAGAACAGAAUCUCAGAACUGCACUGCCUGCUUACAGGCCAAUGAUGCCUCUUGGCACAGACAGAAACCUCCAGAGAUUCAACUAAAAGGCACGCUGCUCUUUGAACACCUGGAAGUAGACUUCACUGAAAUGAAACCUUGCCAACACUACCGUUACCUGCUGGUCAUGUUAAAGUUGCAGGUAUUGUCCCUUGGAUCCAUCAUACGAGGGUGAAGAGAGCAUACCACGCAGAUCCAGAAAACGCUGAGUGGACUAUGCAGAGGGACCCCACUGACCCUCGAGAGACUAGGGUCAUCCUUA